This 642-nucleotide unclassified non-coding RNA is filed under the name Debaryomyces hansenii. RNAcentral's name for it is "sequence contains 18S rRNA gene, ITS1, 5.8S rRNA gene, ITS2, 28S rRNA gene". The stretch from base 241 to 394 matches the Rfam family "5.8S ribosomal RNA". The record is from RNAcentral. Lineage: Eukaryota; Fungi; Ascomycota; Pichiomycetes; Serinales; Debaryomycetaceae.
GUAACAAGGUUUCCGUAGGUGAACCUGCGGAAGGAUCAUUACAGUAUUCUUUUUGCCAGCGCUUAAUUGCGCGGCGAAAAAACCUUACACACAGUGUUUUUUGUUAUUACAAGAACUUUUGCUUUGGUCUGGACUAGAAAUAGUUUGGGCCAGAGGUUUACUGAACUAAACUUCAAUAUUUAUAUUGAAUUGUUAUUUAUUUAAUUGUCAAUUUGUUGAUUAAAUUCAAAAAAUCUUCAAAACUUUCAACAACGGAUCUCUUGGUUCUCGCAUCGAUGAAGAACGCAGCGAAAUGCGAUAAGUAAUAUGAAUUGCAGAUUUUCGUGAAUCAUCGAAUCUUUGAACGCACAUUGCGCCCUCUGGUAUUCCAGAGGGCAUGCCUGUUUGAGCGUCAUUUCUCUCUCAAACCUUCGGGUUUGGUAUUGAGUGAUACUCUUAGUUGAACUAGGCGUUUGCUUGAAAUGUAUUGGCAUGAGUGGUACUGGAUAGUGCUAUAUGACUUUCAAUGUAUUAGGUUUAUCCAACUCGUUGAAUAGUUUAAUGGUAUAUUUCUCGGUAUUCUAGGCUCGGCCUUACAAUAUAACAAACAAGUUUGACCUCAAAUCAGGUAGGAUUACCCGCUGAACUUAAGCAUAUCAAUAA